Molecule: ribosomal RNA, 322 nt
Filed under: uncultured eukaryote
Lineage: Eukaryota
Description: partial 18S ribosomal RNA
Rfam family: Eukaryotic small subunit ribosomal RNA
Source: RNAcentral
CCCUUAGAUGUUCUGGGCCGCACGCGUGCUACACUGAGUAAAUCAAUGGGUAAGGGAACACGAAAGUGCAACCUAAUCUUGAAAUUUGCUCGUGAUGGGGAUCGACGGUUGCAAUUUUCCGUCGUGAACGAGGAAUACCUUGUAGGCGCGUGUCGUCAUCACGCGCCGAAUACGUCCCUGCCCUUUGUACACACCGCCCGUCGCUCCUACCGAUUGAGUGAUCCGGUGAGGCUCUGGGACCUGGACGGAAAGAGCGUUUCGCUUGUUCUGUUUGGGAAACUUGGUCGAACCUUAUCAUUUAGAGGAAGGAGAAGUCGUAACA